Long non-coding RNA from Lampris incognitus (smalleye Pacific opah), 228 nucleotides. RefSeq lists it as uncharacterized. The transcript has 3 exons. The record is from RefSeq and is a predicted model, not a curated record. Lineage: Eukaryota; Metazoa; Chordata; Actinopteri; Lampriformes; Lampridae.
GGCCAUUCCAGAGCUGGAGAUAGAUGUGGAUGAGCUGCUGGACAUGCCCAGUGAUGUCGAACGGGCAGCCAGGGUCAAGGACUUACUGGUUGACUGUUUUAAACCUACUGAGGACUUUGUCUCAGAGCUGCUGGAUAAGAUCAGAGGGAUGCAGAAGCUUUCUACACCACAGAAGAAAUGAUGUCAUCCCUCCUUUCCCCUCAUCCCCAUCGCCACACACGCACACUC